RNAcentral lists this ribosomal RNA (2280 nucleotides) under Escherichia coli. RNAcentral's name for it is "partial 23S ribosomal RNA". It matches the Rfam family "Bacterial large subunit ribosomal RNA", at positions 685 to 2925 of the family's 2925-position model. Lineage: Bacteria; Pseudomonadati; Pseudomonadota; Gammaproteobacteria; Enterobacterales; Enterobacteriaceae. The record is from RNAcentral.
UAACUGGGCGUUAAGUUGCAGGGUAUAGACCCGAAACCCGGUGAUCUAGCCAUGGGCAGGUUGAAGGUUGGGUAACACUAACUGGAGGACCGAACCGACUAAUGUUGAAAAAUUAGCGGAUGACUUGUGGCUGGGGGUGAAAGGCCAAUCAAACCGGGAGAUAGCUGGUUCUCCCCGAAAGCUAUUUAGGUAGCGCCUCGUGAAUUCAUCUCCGGGGGUAGAGCACUGUUUCGGCAAGGGGGUCAUCCCGACUUACCAACCCGAUGCAAACUGCGAAUACCGGAGAAUGUUAUCACGGGAGACACACGGCGGGUGCUAACGUCCGUCGUGAAGAGGGAAACAACCCAGACCGCCAGCUAAGGUCCCAAAGUCAUGGUUAAGUGGGAAACGAUGUGGGAAGGCCCAGACAGCCAGGAUGUUGGCUUAGAAGCAGCCAUCAUUUAAAGAAAGCGUAAUAGCUCACUGGUCGAGUCGGCCUGCGCGGAAGAUGUAACGGGGCUAAACCAUGCACCGAAGCUGCGGCAGCGACACUGUGUGUUGUUGGGUAGGGGAGCGUUCUGUAAGCCUGUGAAGGUGUGCUGUGAGGCAUGCUGGAGGUAUCAGAAGUGCGAAUGCUGACAUAAGUAACGAUAAAGCGGGUGAAAAGCCCGCUCGCCGGAAGACCAAGGGUUCCUGUCCAACGUUAAUCGGGGCAGGGUGAGUCGACCCCUAAGGCGAGGCCGAAAGGCGUAGUCGAUGGGAAACAGGUUAAUAUUCCUGUACUUGGUGUUACUGCGAAGGGGGGACGGAGAAGGCUAUGUUGGCCGGGCGACGGUUGUCCCGGUUUAAGCGUGUAGGCUGGUUUUCCAGGCAAAUCCGGAAAAUCAAGGCUGAGGCGUGAUGACGAGGCACUACGGUGCUGAAGCAACAAAUGCCCUGCUUCCAGGAAAAGCCUCUAAGCAUCAGGUAACAUCAAAUCGUACCCCAAACCGACACAGGUGGUCAGGUAGAGAAUACCAAGGCGCUUGAGAGAACUCGGGUGAAGGAACUAGGCAAAAUGGUGCCGUAACUUCGGGAGAAGGCACGCUGAUAUGUAGGUGAAGUCCCUCGCGGAUGGAGCUGAAAUCAGUCGAAGAUACCAGCUGGCUGCAACUGUUUAUUAAAAACACAGCACUGUGCAAACACGAAAGUGGACGUAUACGGUGUGACGCCUGCCCGGUGCCGGAAGGUUAAUUGAUGGGGUCAGCGCAAGCGAAGCUCUUGAUCGAAGCCCCGGUAAACGGCGGCCGUAACUAUAACGGUCCUAAGGUAGCGAAAUUCCUUGUCGGGUAAGUUCCGACCUGCACGAAUGGCGUAAUGAUGGCCAGGCUGUCUCCACCCGAGACUCAGUGAAAUUGAACUCGCUGUGAAGAUGCAGUGUACCCGCGGCAAGACGGAAAGACCCCGUGAACCUUUACUAUAGCUUGACACUGAACAUUGAGCCUUGAUGUGUAGGAUAGGUGGGAGGCUUUGAAGUGUGGACGCCAGUCUGCAUGGAGCCGACCUUGAAAUACCACCCUUUAAUGUUUGAUGUUCUAACGUGGACCCGUGAUCCGGGUUGCGGACAGUGUCUGGUGGGUAGUUUGACUGGGGCGGUCUCCUCCUAAAGAGUAACGGAGGAGCACGAAGGUUGGCUAAUCCUGGUCGGACAUCAGGAGGUUAGUGCAAUGGCAUAAGCCAGCUUGACUGCGAGCGUGACGGCGCGAGCAGGUGCGAAAGCAGGUCAUAGUGAUCCGGUGGUUCUGAAUGGAAGGGCCAUCGCUCAACGGAUAAAAGGUACUCCGGGGAUAACAGGCUGAUACCGCCCAAGAGUUCAUAUCGACGGCGGUGUUUGGCACCUCGAUGUCGGCUCAUCACAUCCUGGGGCUGAAGUAGGUCCCAAGGGUAUGGCUGUUCGCCAUUUAAAGUGGUACGCGAGCUGGGUUUAGAACGUCGUGAGACAGUUCGGUCCCUAUCUGCCGUGGGCGCUGGAGAACUGAGGGGGGCUGCUCCUAGUACGAGAGGACCGGAGUGGACGCAUCACUGGUGUUCGGGUUGUCAUGCCAAUGGCACUGCCCGGUAGCUAAAUGCGGAAGAGAUAAGUGCUGAAAGCAUCUAAGCACGAAACUUGCCCCGAGAUGAGUUCUCCCUGACCCUUUAAGGGUCCUGAAGGAACGUUGAAGACGACGACGUUGAUAGGCCGGGUGUGUAAGCGCAGCGAUGCGUUGAGCUAACCGGUACUAAUGAACCGUGAGGCUUAACCUUACAACGCCGAAGGUGUUU